RNAcentral lists this ribosomal RNA (1712 nucleotides) under Peribacillus simplex. Its description in RNAcentral is "bacterial LSU rRNA". It matches the Rfam family "Bacterial large subunit ribosomal RNA", at positions 1218 to 2925 of the family's 2925-position model. Lineage: Bacteria; Bacillati; Bacillota; Bacilli; Caryophanales; Bacillaceae. The record is from RNAcentral. RNAcentral also lists the same sequence under 1 other name.
GGUGUCGAUGGUAGGAGAGCGUUCUAAGGGCGUUGAAGUCAGACCGGAAGGACUGGUGGAGCGCUUAGAAGUGAGAAUGCCGGUAUGAGUAGCGAAAGAAGGGUGAGAAUCCCUUCCACCGAAUGCCUAAGGUUUCCUGAGGAAGGCUCGUCCGCUCAGGGUUAGUCGGGACCUAAGCCGAGGCCGAAAGGCGUAGGCGAUGGACAACAGGUUGAUAUUCCUGUACCACCUAUACAUCGUUUGAACGAUGGGGGGACGCAGAAGGAUAGGGUAAGCGCGCUGUUGGAUAUGCGCGUCCAAGCAGUUAGGCCGGAAACGAGGCAAAUCCCGUUUCCAUUAAGGCGGAGCUGUGAUGGCGAGGGAAAUAUAGUACCGAAGUUCCUGAUUCCACGCUGCCAAGAAAAGCCUCUAGUGAGAUGUAAGGUGCCCGUACCGCAAACCGACACAGGUAGGCGAGGAGAGAAUCCUAAGGUGUGCGAGAGAACUCUCGUUAAGGAACUCGGCAAAAUGACCCCGUAACUUCGGGAGAAGGGGUGCUUUUUAGGGUGAAUAGCCCAGAAAAGCCGCAGUGAAUAGGCCCAGGCGACUGUUUAGCAAAAACACAGGUCUCUGCGAAGCCGCAAGGCGAAGUAUAGGGGCUGACACCUGCCCGGUGCUGGAAGGUUAAGGGGAGAGGUUAGCGCAAGCGAAGCUUUGAACCGAAGCCCCAGUAAACGGCGGCCGUAACUAUAACGGUCCUAAGGUAGCGAAAUUCCUUGUCGGGUAAGUUCCGACCCGCACGAAAGGUGUAACGAUCUGGGCACUGUCUCAACGAGAGACUCGGUGAAAUUAUAGUACCUGUGAAGAUGCAGGUUACCCGCGACAGGACGGAAAGACCCCGUGGAGCUUUACUGCAGCCUGAUAUUGAAUUUUGGUACAGCUUGUACAGGAUAGGUAGGAGCCUGAGAAGCCGGAGCGCCAGCUUCGGUGGAGGCGUUGGUGGGAUACUACCCUGGCUGUAUUGAAAUUCUAACCCGCGCCCCUUAUCGGGGUGGGAGACAGUGUCAGGUGGGCAGUUUGACUGGGGCGGUCGCCUCCUAAAGAGUAACGGAGGCGCCCAAAGGUUCCCUCAGAAUGGUUGGAAAUCAUUCGUAGAGUGUAAAGGCACAAGGGAGCUUGACUGCGAGACCUACAAGUCGAGCAGGGACGAAAGUCGGGCUUAGUGAUCCGGUGGUUCCGCAUGGAAGGGCCAUCGCUCAACGGAUAAAAGCUACCCCGGGGAUAACAGGCUUAUCUCCCCCAAGAGUCCACAUCGACGGGGAGGUUUGGCACCUCGAUGUCGGCUCAUCGCAUCCUGGGGCUGUAGUCGGUCCCAAGGGUUGGGCUGUUCGCCCAUUAAAGCGGUACGCGAGCUGGGUUCAGAACGUCGUGAGACAGUUCGGUCCCUAUCCGUCGCGGGCGCAGGAAAUUUGAGAGGAGCUGUCCUUAGUACGAGAGGACCGGGAUGGACGCACCGCUGGUGUACCAGUUGUCUUGCCAAAGGCAUAGCUGGGUAGCUACGUGCGGACGGGAUAAGUGCUGAAAGCAUCUAAGCAUGAAGCCCCCCUCAAGAUGAGAUUUCCCAUGGCGCAAGCUAGUAAGAUCCCUGAAAGAUGAUCAGGUUGAUAGGUCAGAGGUGGAAGCAUGGUGACAUGUGGAGCUGACUGAUACUAAUAGAUCGAGGACUUAACCAA